GUAGGUGAACCUGCGGAAGGAUCAUUGUCGAUACCUGCUCAGCAGAUAGACCCGUGAACAUGUUGCAUCAUCGAACGGGGGAAAGGGUGGUGGGGGGUGUGAGCCCCUUACUCCCUGAACCCAAACACAACAAUCGGCGCGGUUGGCGCCAAGGAAUCCACAACGGAACGGGUGUGGCAUCGUACCUUAGGUGUGAUGUGUGUCGCCUUAAAUCCGAAUCUCACGAACGACUCUCGGCAACGGAUAUCUCGGCUCUUGCAUCGAUGAAGAACGUAGCGAAAUGCGAUACUUGGUGUGAAUUGCAGAAUCCCGUGAACCAUCGAGUCUUUGAACGCAAGUUGCGCCCUAGGCCAUCAGGCUGAGGGCACGCCUGCCUGGGCGUCACGCAUCGCGUCGCCCGCCCUCUGUUCCCCUUGUGGGGGCCGAGUGCGGAGUGGAGUUUGGCCCCCCGUGCCCUAUUUUGGAGUACGGUCGGCCCAAAGGAAAGAGCCCCCUGUGUGGCGAGCGUCACGAUGAGUGGUGGUUGUAGCCACUUUGCCAUUUAGCUCGGACAUCGUGUGCGUAUUGCCCACGUUGGGUUCUAAUAACCCUGAUAGUGCGUCGUCUUGUGAGACGCUUCGACUGCGACCCCAGGUCAGGCGGGGCUACCCGCUGAG
This 656-nucleotide ribosomal RNA is filed under the name Alloxylon flammeum. RNAcentral's name for it is "eukaryotic LSU rRNA". The stretch from base 229 to 384 matches the Rfam family "5.8S ribosomal RNA". The record is from RNAcentral. Lineage: Eukaryota; Viridiplantae; Streptophyta; Magnoliopsida; Proteales; Proteaceae.